Small nuclear RNA from Heterocephalus glaber (naked mole-rat), 107 nucleotides. Lineage: Eukaryota; Metazoa; Chordata; Mammalia; Rodentia; Bathyergidae. The record is from Ensembl.
GUGUUCGCUUUGGCAGCACGUAUACUAAAAUUGGAACGAUACAGAGAAGAUUAGCAUGGCCCCUGCACAAGGAUGAAACACAAAUUCGUGAAGCAUCCCAUAUUUUU